Long non-coding RNA from Oncorhynchus tshawytscha (Chinook salmon), 726 nucleotides. The record is from Ensembl. Lineage: Eukaryota; Metazoa; Chordata; Actinopteri; Salmoniformes; Salmonidae.
UGAAUAUAUUUUUGCUGUCCCACAGAUUAUUUGGAAAUGGUCCUCUUUCUGAUUUAUAUGCGUUAGCCUAACUAUUGUAUUAAAAUGACAUUUUUCGCAUUAUUCAUACACUCAGAAUUCGUUGCUUCAUCUUCAGUAGCCUACCUCUCCUUGUGCAUGAGAGUUCAAUUGCGUGGUCUCAGUGGGUGUUCUCACUAAGUAGAGUACAUGGGCGGAGAAUCAAGUCGCAGUUAACUUAAAUAUGAAAUUAAAUGAAAUAUGAUUAGAAUGUAGUUUACUACAGUGUCUGUAAAUAAAUAUUGAUAAUGGAACAAAGAGCGUGCUCAACCAACGUGAGUCGAAGUACAAUGAAAAACAUGUAUUUAUGAUUGAAAGGCACAACUCGCACAUAGGUGACCAUAGGUUAGGUUACCAUGGUGACCAUAGGUUUAGGUUACCAUGGUGACCAUAGGUUAGGUUACUAUGGUGACCAUAGGUUAGGCUACUAUGGUGACCAUAGGUUUAGGUUACUAUGGUGACCAUAGGUUAGGCUACUAUGGUGACCAUAGGUUUAGGUUACCAUGGUGACCAUAGGUUAGGUUACUAUGGUGACCAUAGGUUAGGCUACUAUGGUGACCAUAGGUUUAGGUUACUAUGGUGACCAUAGGUUAGGCUACUAUGGUGACCAUAGGUUUAGGCUACCAUGGUGACCAUAGGUUAGGUUACUUUGGUGACCAUAGGUUAGGC